CCUACGGGAGGCAGCAGUGAGGAAUAUUGGUCAAUGGACGCAAGUCUGAACCAGCCAUGCCGCGUGCAGGAUGACGGCUCUAUGAGUUGUAAACUGCUUUUGUACGAGGGUAAACCCCGAUACGUGUAUCGGGUGGAAAGUAUCGUGCGAAUUAGGAUCGGCUAACUCCGUGCCAGCAGCCGCGGUAAUACGGAGGAUCGGAGCGUUAUCCGGAUUUAUUGGGUUUAAAGGGUUCGUAGGCGGUUUGAUAAGUUAGAGGGGAAAUGUCGGGGCUCAACCCCGGAACUGCCGCUAAUACUGUUGGACUAGAGAAUAGGAGCGGUAGGCGGAAUGUAUGGUGUAGCGGUGAAAUGCUUAGAGAUCAUACAGAACACCGAUUGCGAAGGCAGCUUACCAGACUAUAUCUGACGUUGAGGCACGAAAGCGUGGGGAGCAAACAGGAUUAGAUACCCUUGUAGUC
Molecule: ribosomal RNA, 460 nt
Filed under: uncultured bacterium
Lineage: Bacteria
Description: partial 16S ribosomal RNA
Rfam family: Bacterial small subunit ribosomal RNA
Source: RNAcentral